UCAUUGUUGAGCAGUUCUGCUCUGCUGAAGCAUAACAUUAUAAAGAGGACCUUAAGGAACAUUUUAAGUUCUGCUGACAUACCGGUAGACACCACAGGAGAGAAAUAAUGCCUAAUACAUUAAUUCUGCAUUUAAAUACAGUGAAUUUUGUAACAAUAUGCAAUUUAGUGUACAUUACAAAUGCUCAGCCAUUGAUGUGUAUUGAAAGAUAAUCUAAUAUAAUGAUGUGGAAAUACAUGAAUACAGUUCAGCUAAAGAGAUUCCCUUGGUAAUCGUCAAUUGAAGUAUAAAGGCCAUGGUCCAAUCAAAACAGUAGGGAGUAAGACACCACAUGAAUGCCAGUGGGACAUUUGCGGCAUGAAUCCAAUAGUACUGGCUAUUUACACUCCGUUCCAAGUCUCCAACCUUCAGGCACCCCUAUUGUCACAAAUACCCUUUCUUGUAUGUCAUGUUCCCCCUCAGCUCUUGGUAGUUUUAAGAGUUACUAUGACGUUUGGUGACAUGUUGUUUUUAUCCAUGAAUCAUUAGGGCUGGGAAUUGUCAGGGACCUAACGAUACUUAGGUGCCAAUACGAUAUGUAUUGCGAUUCCCACGAUUCUGUAUGUAUUGCGAUUCAAUACUGUGAUUUUACUGCGAUUUAAUGUUGUAAACAUAUUGCUCACCAAAUGUCUGCUGCAGAGGGACAAGAGAGAGCCAUGAGCCUAUUUAAAAAGAAGAUGGAGAACAAGCGAUGAAGGAAAAAUACUAGCGGUUUGGUGCAGGUACAGCCAACUAGCGCAAAAAUAAUAUUGCAAUAUUGUUAAAAUGAUACGAUAUAUUGUCAAAAAUAAUAUCCAAUCACGAUUAAUCAUUCCCUUGUGCUAUUAUCAUCAUCUCUACUAUGACAACCAGUGAUUUUACCCUUGCAAACCAAGGCGCUAAGUACGUAUUCUGACGUACUUAGCACGGACCUCUCAGUAGGUCUGUCUCUUAGACACCCUUUGCUGGCACCUGUCACUCUUUUGUCUACAGGACAAACCCACCUGUCCUUUGAACCCCAUGGAGCUGAUGGGCUGAGGAGUGGGGGUUGACGGAGUUGACAAAGUUUGAGCGGUGGAGCAGAGCCUCUGAAUCCUCUCUCUGAGGUUCGAGAGGACCCUGUUGGAUACUGAGAUUAAAGACAGAGCAGAGAGUGGAUAAAGCCAUAGGUAACCUUUUCAAGGGCAGGGACAAUUGGCUAGUGAGCAGUGUGUCUGAUGGCUUCGUAACUCUGGCGCAGGCUCUGAGGUUUACUCUGCUACAGGAGGAAGCCAACAGAAUCCAUUCCCCGCCAACGUGCAGAGAAUUUGGUAGUACAUCCAACCAGCCUCACAACCGUAACCACGCCAGCCCAGGACCUCCACAUCUGGCUUCUUCACCUUUGAGAUUGUCUGAGGGGGUGCUGAGGCAUAUUUCUGUCUG
RNAcentral lists this long non-coding RNA (1440 nucleotides) under Salmo salar (Atlantic salmon). RNAcentral describes it as "lncRNA (ENSSSAG00000103673.1)". Lineage: Eukaryota; Metazoa; Chordata; Actinopteri; Salmoniformes; Salmonidae. The record is from RNAcentral.